Molecule: ribosomal RNA, 253 nt
Filed under: uncultured bacterium
Lineage: Bacteria
Description: partial 16S ribosomal RNA
Rfam family: Bacterial small subunit ribosomal RNA
Source: RNAcentral
UACAGAGGUCCCAAGCGUUGUUCGGAUUCACUGGGCGUAAAGGGUGCGUAGGUGGUGAGGUAAGUCGGAUGUGAAAGCUCCGAGCUCAACUCGGAAAUGGCAUUGGAAACUACCUUGCUCGAGGGUUUGAGGGGGGACUGGAAUACUUGGUGUAGCAGUGAAAUGCGUAGAUAUCAAGUAGAACACCAGUGGCGAAGGCGGCGACCUGGGUCGAGACUGACGCUGAGGUGCGAAAGCGUGGGGAGCAAACAGG